Molecule: non-coding RNA, 470 nt
Organism: Vicia faba (fava bean)
Lineage: Eukaryota; Viridiplantae; Streptophyta; Magnoliopsida; Fabales; Fabaceae
Source: the annotation of a GenBank genome assembly
AUGUUAGUAGACUUUGAACCGGUGAGUACGAAAGAGGCUCUUAAGAAGCAAAUCUGGUUGCAGUCCAUGAAAGAAGAACUUGAUCCUAUAGAGAGAAACCACACUUGGAAGCUGACUGAACUUCCAAAAGGCAAGAAAGCCAUCAGCGUUAGAUGGGUUUUCAAGAAGAAGCUAAAUCCAGAUGGAUCAAUUGGCAAAUACAAAGCGAGAUUAAUAGCAAGAGGCUUUCUACAGAAGCCUGGGCUGGAUUACUUUGAAGUGUUUGCACCUGUAGCGAGACAUGAAACAAUCAGACUAGUGAUUACAAUAGCUGCUAACAGGAAUUGGCCUCUGAUGCAUUUAGAUGUAAAAUCUACAUUUAUGAAUGGUCCAUUACAAGAAGAGGUGUACGUUUCACAACCUCCUAGAUUUGAGAAAAAGAAUCAGGAAGGGAUGGUGUUCAAAUUACACAAAGCAUUGUAUGGAUUGAA